Molecule: ribosomal RNA, 497 nt
Filed under: uncultured bacterium
Lineage: Bacteria
Description: partial 16S ribosomal RNA
Rfam family: Bacterial small subunit ribosomal RNA
Source: RNAcentral
GAUGAACGCUGGCGGCGUGCCUAAUACAUGCAAGUCGAGCGAACAGACGAGGAGCUUGCUCCUCUGACGUUAGCGGCGGACGGGUGAGUAACACGUGGAUAACCUACCUAUAAGACUGGGAUAACUUCGGGAAACCGGAGCUAAUACCGGAUAAUAUAUUGAACCGCAUGGUUCAAUAGUGAAAGACGGUUUUGCUGUCACUUAUAGAUGGAUCCGCGCCGCAUUAGCUAGUUGGUAAGGUAACGGCUUACCAAGGCAACGAUGCGUAGCCGACCUGAGAGGGUGAUCGGCCACACUGGAACUGAGACACGGUCCAGAAUCCUACGGGAGGCAGCAGUAGGGAAUCUUCCGCAAUGGGCGAAAGCCUGACGGAGCAACGCCGCGUGAAUGAUGAAGGUCUUCGGAUCGUAAAACUCUGUUAUUAGGGAAGAACAAAUGUGUAAGUAACUAUGCACGUCUUGACGGUACCUAAUCCGAAAGCCACGGCUAACUACGUG